This 269-nucleotide unclassified non-coding RNA is filed under the name Capronia sp. RNAcentral describes it as "partial contains small subunit ribosomal RNA, internal transcribed spacer 1, and 5.8S ribosomal RNA". The stretch from base 1 to 46 matches the Rfam family "Eukaryotic small subunit ribosomal RNA", at positions 1786 to 1831 of the family's 1831-position model. Lineage: Eukaryota; Fungi; Ascomycota; Eurotiomycetes; Chaetothyriales; Herpotrichiellaceae. The record is from RNAcentral. RNAcentral also lists the same sequence under 1 other name.
AAGUCGUAACAAGGUUUCCGUAGGUGAACCUGCGGAAGGAUCAUUACCGAGUUAGGGUCUUCUAGGCCCGACCUCCCAACCCUGUGUCUAUCAAACCUUUUGUUGCUUCGGCGAGCCCGUCCCCGCAAGGGGACCGCCGGAGGACCGUCUACACGUCCUCUGGCCCGCGCUCGCCGACGGCCCAAACCAAAACUCUUGAACAAACAUGAAUUGUCUGAGUACCACAUUUAAUAAAAACAAAACUUUCAACAACGGAUCUCUUGGUUCUG